Molecule: ribosomal RNA, 253 nt
Filed under: uncultured bacterium
Lineage: Bacteria
Description: partial 16S ribosomal RNA
Rfam family: Bacterial small subunit ribosomal RNA
Source: RNAcentral
UACGUAGGGGGCAAGCGUUGUCCGGAAUCAUUGGGCGUAAAGAGCGCGUAGGCGGCCCAGUAAGUCCGCUCUGAAAGUCAGGGGCUCAACCCCUGGAUGCGGGUGGAUACUGCUGGGCUAGAGUCCGGAAGAGGUGAGUGGAAUUCCUGGUGUAGCGGUGAAAUGCGCAGAUAUUCGCAAGAACACCAGUGGCGAAGGCGGCUCACUGGCCCGAUACUGACGCUGAGGCACGAAAGCGUGGGGAGCAAACAGG